AAUCAACGCUGGCGGCGUGCCUCAGACAUGCAAGUCGAACGCGAAAGUCCCCUUCGGGGGACAAGUAGAGCGGCGCACGGGUGAGUAACACGUAGGUAAUCUACCUUCGGAUGGGGAAUAACAACCGGAAACGGUUGCUAAUACCGCAUAAUGCAGCGGCACCUAAUGGUGACAGUUGUUAAAGCGGGGAUCGAAGACCUCGCGUCUGAAGAGGAGCCUGCGGCGGAUUAGCUAGNGGUAAGGUAAUGGCUUACCAAGGCGACGAUCCGUAGCCGGCCUGAGAGGGCGGUCGGCCACACUGACACUGACAUACGGGUCAGACUCCUACGGGAGGCAGCAGUCGGGAAUUUUGGGCAAUGGGCGAAAGCCUGACCCAGCAACGCCGCGUGAAGGAUGAAAU
RNAcentral lists this ribosomal RNA (400 nucleotides) under uncultured bacterium. RNAcentral describes it as "bacterial SSU rRNA". It matches the Rfam family "Bacterial small subunit ribosomal RNA", at positions 32 to 414 of the family's 1533-position model. The record is from RNAcentral.